RNAcentral lists this non-coding RNA (156 nucleotides) under Microvirga brassicacearum. RNAcentral's name for it is "6S / SsrS RNA". It matches the Rfam family "6S / SsrS RNA". Rfam says of the family: E. coli 6S RNA was the first non coding RNA to be sequenced, but its function was unknown until recently. It consists of 184 nucleotides that fold into an extended hairpin structure with a large single-stranded internal bulge. The record is from Rfam by way of RNAcentral. Lineage: Bacteria; Pseudomonadati; Pseudomonadota; Alphaproteobacteria; Hyphomicrobiales; Methylobacteriaceae.
GCGGGGCUGCGGGGCACGUUUGGAGAUCAUUUCCCCGGGGCCUUAACGAUCCCAAGGGAGCUGUCCCUGACCCGGUCCCUGGACCGGGAUACACGGCGCCCACCUACAUAAGUAGGUUCCCGGGAUCGCUUCUCUGACGACUUUCGCGGCUCCGCA